GGCGGAAUUCUAGUUUUUUGGCCGUAAAACGCAAAACAACGAGGAACGGCCAUGGAAGGGCGGUGACUAUGGUUUCUUAGGUCGUAUUUGAUCGCUCGGAAUAAUUUGAGGCGAUCGGGGUCCGGGGGGCCCGAACCCAUUCGAAAGGCAUGGGCUAUAGCACAGGAAUAUAUAGGAAUCAGGCGGAAUUCUAGUUUUUUGGCCGUAAAAUGCAAAACAACGAGGAACGGCCAUGUCAGGCGGUGACUACGUUCCUUAGGUCGUAUUUGAUGGCCUGGAAAAAUGUUAGGCAAUCUGGUUUCGGGGGACCCGGGCCCACUCGGAAGGCGUGGGCUAGAGUACACGAAAAUAUUGGAAUUGGGUGGAAUUCUAGUUUUAUGGCCGUAAAACGCAAAACAACGAGGAACGGCCAAGGCUGGGCGGUGACUAUGGUUCCUUAGGUCAUAUUUGAUGACCCAGAAUAAUUUUAGGCCAUCGGGGUCCGUGGGCCCGGACCCACUCGCAAGGCAUGUGCUAUAACACACGAAUAUAUGGGAAUCCGGCGGAAUUCAUGUAUUUUAGCCGUAAAACGCAAAACAACAAGGAACGGCCAUGGCGGGGCGGUGACUAUGGUUCCUUAGGUCGUAUUUGAUGGCCCGGAAUAAUUUUAGGCGAUCGAGGUCUUGGCCCCUCCGGACCCAGUCUGAAGGCGUGGGCUAUACAACACGAAUAUAUAGAAAUCGGGCGG
RNAcentral lists this long non-coding RNA (727 nucleotides) under Nicotiana tabacum (common tobacco). RNAcentral describes it as "long non-coding RNA (NTAB_LNC019004)". The record is from RNAcentral. Lineage: Eukaryota; Viridiplantae; Streptophyta; Magnoliopsida; Solanales; Solanaceae.